AUUUCCUCUGCUAAAUCCUCUCUUUUUCUACGCAGACUUUGCAAAUGCAGCUCUCUCUCUCUCUCUCUCUCUCAUCGUGCUCAUAACCAUGUCUAGUUUGUGUUUUGUGCUGAUUCUCAUCGACUGUCGAGAUCUAAGUGACUCGAUGUCGUUCACUUUGCUUUGUCGACUGAAAUGUGGUGGUAGUGGUUUCCGAUUGCUUUGGUCGUUCCUAGCUGGUCGAAGUAAGUGAGGGCUUAGUUACUAUUGGAGUAGAAGUUGAUGUUGAGAGAGAGAGAGAGAGAGAGAGAGAGAGAUUGAUUUUGAUGGUAUAGUUUGAUAGCCGCGCGGAUUACUAGGUGAAUGUGAGUGAAUGAAGUGCGGCGCAGAUCGUCUGUGUUUUGCUGAUAAAAUUUGGAGGAGGAGAUGGGUUUUAUUUCUCAUACAUCUU
This is a long non-coding RNA of Rhodamnia argentea, 430 nucleotides long. RefSeq lists it as uncharacterized. NCBI's taxonomy places the organism in Eukaryota, Viridiplantae, Streptophyta, Magnoliopsida, Myrtales, Myrtaceae. The transcript has 3 exons. The record is from RefSeq and is a predicted model, not a curated record.